RNAcentral lists this ribosomal RNA (468 nucleotides) under uncultured bacterium. RNAcentral's name for it is "partial 16S ribosomal RNA". It matches the Rfam family "Bacterial small subunit ribosomal RNA", at positions 28 to 507 of the family's 1533-position model. The record is from RNAcentral.
GACGAACGCUGGCGGCGUGCUUAACACAUGCAAGUCGAGCGGACAGGCCCUGGUUUUGUGGGGUGCUCGGGUGGCGAACGGGUGGGUACCACGGGUGUGACUCGCCAUUGCCUUUGGGAUCACUUGAGGAUACUGGGGAUAAUAGCGGAUAGGAGCGCCUGCUGCCUGGAGGGGGUUGGCAAGUCUCGUCGGUUGGGGAGGGACUCGCGGCGUAUCAGCUUGUUGGGUGGGUAGUGGCUUACCAAGGCUUUGACGGGUAGCCGGCCUGAGAGGGUGACCGGCCACAUUGGGACUGAGAUACGGCCCAGACUCCUACGGGAGGCAGCAGAGCGGAAUAGUGCACAAUGGGCGGAAGCCAGAUGCAGCAACGCCGCGUGCGGGAAGACGGCCUUCGGGUUGUAAACCGCUUUCGCCUGUGACGAAGCGUGAGUGACGGUAAUGGGUAAAGAAGCACCGGCUAACUACGUG